AACGAACGCUGGCGGCAGGCCUAACACAUGCAAGUCGAGCGAGGACUUUGGUCCUAGCGGCGGACGGGUGAGUAACGCGUGGGAACGUGCCCUUUGCUUCGGAAUAGCCCUGGGAAACUGGGAGUAAUACCGAAUGUGCCCUUUGGGGGAAAGAUUUAUCGGCAAAGGAUCGGCCCGCGUUGGAUUAGGUAGUUGGUGGGGUAAUGGCCUACCAAGCCGACGAUCCAUAGCUGGUUUGAGAGGAUGAUCAGCCACACUGGGACUGAGACACGGCCCAGACUCCUACGGGAGGCAGCAGUGGGGAAUCUUAGACAAUGGGCGCAAGCCUGAUCUAGCCAUGCCGCGUGAGCGAUGAAGGCCUUAGGGUUGUAAAGCUCUUUCAGCGAGGAAGAUAAUGACUGUACUCGCAGAAGAAGCCCCGGCUAACUCCGUGCCAGCAGCCGCGGUAAU
RNAcentral lists this ribosomal RNA (450 nucleotides) under uncultured bacterium. RNAcentral's name for it is "bacterial SSU rRNA". It matches the Rfam family "Bacterial small subunit ribosomal RNA", at positions 29 to 524 of the family's 1533-position model. The record is from RNAcentral.